UACGGAGGGGGCUAGCGUUAUUCGGAAUUACUGGGCGUAAAGCGCACGUAGGCGGCUUUGUAAGUAAGAGGUGAAAGCCCGGAGCUCAACUCCGGAACUGCCUUUUAGACUGCAUCGCUUGAAUCCAGGAGAGGGAAGUGGAAUUCCCGGUGUAGUGGUGAAAUGCGUAGAGAUGCGGAGGAACACCGAUGGCGAAGGCAGCCCCCUGGGCUAACACUGACGCUCAGGCACGAAAGCGUGGGGAGCAAACAGG
This 253-nucleotide ribosomal RNA is filed under the name uncultured bacterium. RNAcentral's name for it is "partial 16S ribosomal RNA". It matches the Rfam family "Bacterial small subunit ribosomal RNA", at positions 524 to 776 of the family's 1533-position model. The record is from RNAcentral.